RNAcentral lists this ribosomal RNA (301 nucleotides) under uncultured bacterium. RNAcentral describes it as "partial 16S ribosomal RNA". It matches the Rfam family "Bacterial small subunit ribosomal RNA", at positions 509 to 808 of the family's 1533-position model. The record is from RNAcentral.
CAGUCGCCGCGGUAAUACGUAGGUCCCGGGCGUUGUCCGGAUUUAUUGGGCGUAAAGCGAGCGCAGGCGGUUAGAUAAGUCUGAAGUUAAAGGCUGUGGCUUAACCAUAGUACGCUUUGGAAACUGUUUAACUUGAGUGCAAGAGGGGAGAGUGGAAUUCCAUGUGUAGCGGUGAAAUGCGUAGAUAUAUGGAGGAACACCGGUGGCGAAAGCGGCUCUCUGGCUUGUAACUGACGCUGAGGCUCGAAAGCGUGGGGCGCAAACAGGAUUAGAUACCCGCGUAGUCCCUGUCUCUUAUACA